AGACAGUCAUGAAUCCGACAAAAAUAUUGAUAUUGCUCUUGUUUAAUGAAGCAAUUGUAUAUAUUAUGUAUUUAAUUUUGUACUUAUAAAUUUAAUUAAUUUUUAUCUUUUGCAAGAAUGCGUUAGUGACCCCAAAAGCCUGCACGGCGGGUGACUGCUCUCUGCACGACUCAAAACUCAGUAAUUUCCUCAGCACCGCCAUUAAGGACGAUUUUACAUCCGUUUUUGAGUCUUCUUUCGCUUCAUCGAGUUUGGAGAUUGGAGAAAUUUUUUACAAAUGCGGCCGGCUCUUCUUCAGAAGCAAUAAUCAAGGAUCAUUUUCUGAGGCGGUUCUCGUUUGCGCCAAAAGGAAAAUGCAACUUGUUGCAAUGGAAGACGGCGAGAACAACAUGAAUUGUCUGGCGCACAAUUUCGAGAAAAUGACCAUCGAGAAGCAAA
Cloeon dipterum is the source of this 438-nucleotide long non-coding RNA. RefSeq lists it as uncharacterized. The record is from RefSeq and is a predicted model, not a curated record. The transcript has 5 exons. NCBI's taxonomy places the organism in Eukaryota, Metazoa, Arthropoda, Insecta, Ephemeroptera, Baetidae.